UCCGGUUUGUCACCGGCAGUCUCGCAUGAGUCCCCAACUAAAUGCUGGCAACUAAGAUCAAGGGUUGCGCUCGUUGCGGGACUUAACCCAACAUCUCACGACACGAGCUGACGACAACCAUGCACCACCUGUCACCGCUGUCCCCGAAGGGAAAGCCAUGUCUCCAUGGCGGUCAGCGGGAUGUCAAGACCUGGUAAGGUUCUUCGCGUUGCUUCGAAUUAAACCACAUGCUCCACCGCUUGUGCGGGUCCCCGUCAAUUCUUUUGAGUUUCAGCCUUGCGGCCGUACUCCCCAGGCGGGGUGCUUAAUGCGUUAGCUGCGGCACGGAAAGGGUUGAAGACCUCCCCACACCUAGCACCCAACGUUUACGGCUGGGACUAC
RNAcentral lists this unclassified non-coding RNA (381 nucleotides) under uncultured Caryophanales bacterium. RNAcentral describes it as "uncultured Bacillales bacterium contains 16S-23S intergenic spacer region". The record is from RNAcentral. Lineage: Bacteria; Bacillati; Bacillota; Bacilli; Caryophanales.